Varanus komodoensis (Komodo dragon) is the source of this 2654-nucleotide long non-coding RNA. RefSeq lists it as uncharacterized. Lineage: Eukaryota; Metazoa; Chordata; Lepidosauria; Squamata; Varanidae. The transcript has 2 exons. The record is from RefSeq and is a predicted model, not a curated record.
UCAAAUAGGACAUAGACUUCAGCAGGCUUGAUCUAAAAUGUACAGACUGCUCCACAGAAGCACUGGGGGUGACAAUACGUGGCUCCAAAAUUAUUUUAGUCAUUAGAAUAUACUAUCACCCUCCAGACCAGAAUAUUAAGUGAUCCUGACAUGGAGAAUGAAAUCAGGGGGACCUGAAACAAAAGCAGUGCUGUAAUAAUGGAUGACUUCAACUACCUACACAUUGACUGAAUAAGAGAAGAAUAGAAAUGUUUUUGAGGAGCAUAUUGCUAACAACAUCAAGGCCAACGAUAAAAGGACUCUUUAAAUAUAUCAGAAGAAAGAAACCAGCUAGAGAGGCAGUUCAACCACUGGAUGAGAAGGGAAUUAAAGGUGCACUAAAGGAGGAUGCUGUCAUGAACCAGGUGUUCCCUCCCAGCAAGACAGACUCUUCAGCAUUUCUUUUGAGGAUCCAGAACAGAUACCGCUUCCCAUACUGAUAUAUUCAAGAAUAGAGUCUGAGGAUAAGACAGACAAUAGUGACAAAAACAAUGAAAUUCUCCAUCUUAAGACAAACUGACAAAAUUCAGGUGACAAACUGAAAAUUGAUAAAUCAGCUGGCCAAAAUAGUAUCCAUUCUGGCUUUUUUAAAGAGCACAGAGCUCAAAUAUGAAAUAGCAAACCUUCUUACCAAAAUAUGUAAUGUGUCCCUAACAUAAGCUUCUGUAAGACCUAUUUUUUGAAAGCAUCCAGGGGAAAUCUGGGAAAUUGCCAACCAGUUAGUUUAAUGACUGUUCUGGGUAAAUAGAUUGAAAGCAUGAUUAACAGCAUAAACAGUAAGCACACAAAAGGACAAACACUUCUGAAAAAGAAUUGACAUGUUUUCCUCAAAGGUAAGUCCUAAGCUUUUUUGAAUUUUUUCAGAGUGUCAUUAAAUGUGUGAAGAGGGGCAAUCCAGUAAACAUUGUUUACUUGGACUUCCAAAAGAUUUUCAACAAUGUUCCUCACCAAAACCUCCUAAGCAAGCAUAAUCAACUUAAUUAUGGGAUAUAGCUGUGGGGCAGCAGGGGUUUCCUAUAGAUCCCUGCAUUAAAUCUAAUUUGGCCCAAAUGUUGUUUCUGGAUAAAUGAGAGUGCUAAAAAGUAUCUCUUGCACUUUCUGGUGGGUGGAGAUUCAAUUCACAACAAUCACAGUGUGAUUCAAAAUUGGUUUAGGAUCAGCACAAGGGGUGUGAGGCAAAUUCCCCCAUUCGUUGUGUCCAGAAAGCCAGCAAUAUUGGCUUCAGAUAAAGCAGAAUUUUUAAAAUCCUUGGAUUGCUUCAGGUCAUAUAAACAAGCUCAUGGUGGCAGUAAAUCAGCCAUGUAGGAUUCUAAAACUGUUACAGUGCCACAACUUGUUACUGAGUCCCCAAUGUUCUCUCUCAUCAAAGACCUUUGAAUUUUCAGAAGUAGAACCUUUAACAUAUGGUGAACAAGGUGAGGUGGUUCAUCACAGUGUGCUGUGAUUUGCUAUCCAGAAUGUCUGUGGUUGGUGCUUGACUUAAUCCUGGACUAGAUGUUCUGCCAUGCCAUUUCUCUGUGGAUAGGCUGACUUUUGGAAUUUAAGGUUUCCUCCUUUAAGAGAAAAUAAACAUAUACUUCACUGUGUGCAUCGGGGGGGGGGGGAUUGCAUCCCCUGUUGUCACUAGUAGAAAAGGCUACUGUUAGGAUGUAAUACUUUGUCCAGCAACAGAAAUACUUCUAGGAGAGUCAGUCUUCACCAACUUGAUGCUCUCCAAAAGGGUUGGACUAUCAGUCAUCACCCCCAGCCAGUAUAGUUAUUGGCUGCAUUGACUGACAGUGAUGGCUACUGUAGCACACUAACCCUGUCUCUCUGUCUAUGUUUCCAUUGCUAUUGACACAUGGAGAACUCCUUUCUGAAGGGAGAUCCUUUUCCAGCCAUGGAGACUCCUAUGCUUUCCAGGGUUCCAAAGUGCUUGGAGAGCGUCUAUGGAUAGAGGAGGCUCUCCCUUUAAGGACAUUGCCCUCUAUUGUAGACAGUGUGAUGAGUUGAUGGGACUAAAGCUAGUAUCUCUUGGUAUAUUUCAUAUAUUUAGUUUGAGAGUGCUGCAAUGUGUAUAUAUUUAAAGUGAUGUUUAAUAUAAAAGAAGCCAGGAAAAUUAGUCAGGGCUAAGUCACAUUAAAAGGAAAGUCAAGACCCACCUGAGUCUUGCUGAAUUUGGUGGGACAUCAAUCUUUCUUAUCACUAUUAACUAGAGAGUAAGUUCCAGUGAUUCCUAUAUUUUCUUAAGGGCAUCAGGUGCCAGCUUUAGUUACAUCUUACUUUUACUGGUUUUGCUAAUAUGCCUGUGUAACACUGUUAUAUUACUUCUGUUCUUCAUCUCACAAGAGAUGUUUGUGUUCUGAUCCUUGCUGCAGAUUCCGAUCAAUCCUGGAGACUGGUAUCUGCUAGGUUUUGUUUUAUUUUUCAAUGAAGGAACAGCCAUCUUUCUUUGUCUCAUCAGCUCAGCCUGAAAUCUUUUUUGCGCUAGCAGACACUGACUACUACUUUGAGCCUGCUUAAUGUCUCCUGUGUUCUAGUCUAAGAACUCUGUUUUUCUUAAUGUCCAGUCUGAAGAAGCUUGUUCACUAUUUUGUGCCAUUUUGAGUUAGUCCUAAUAAAUCUUUUUCUCCGUA